This 4960-nucleotide long non-coding RNA is filed under the name Sus scrofa (pig). Its description in RNAcentral is "lncRNA (ENSSSCG00015026912.1)". The record is from RNAcentral. Lineage: Eukaryota; Metazoa; Chordata; Mammalia; Artiodactyla; Suidae.
ACCUCUCCGAGGCUCAGUUUUGUCUUGGGUAAAAUGGAGAGAAUUGUGUGAAAUAAGGGUCUAGCAUGUAAUCCAUGGCCUUAAAAUAUUAGCAUGUAUUGUUGUUAUUGCUGUUAUUAUUUCAGCAUUAGCAAAUAUAGGUCUCUUGGUCCCUUUCCCCUUUAUCCAUAUAUCCGACACCCACUGUUCCAUGCCUUGCUCUUCCACAAACAGACUCAGUAUGUACAGAGCCUUCAUCGCCUUCUGGGGGGCUGCAUACUGUGCCAUUGACAUGCCCAGCCUCCUCCUGAUGGUCAUGUCCAUCCAUCUCUCUGUCUCAGGUUCCCAUGAGAUGAGCUGCAGUGUUUGUUCACACACAGGUGUCUUUGUGGAAUACAUGUUUUAGCAUGUGCUGGAUCUCACCUGGUCACCCUGCAGAGUGUCUGUAAUUUCUGCUUCAUCCAUCAGAGAGUGAGUGCAGGCUUCCCCUUGACAGUUUAGGGGGAUAGGAUUGUUUUUUUUUCUUUGACUGCUCCCACUGGGCCAGUUGGAAGAGUCCACCUUGCCCACCUUGGUUUCAGAUCUAAAAUUUUCUUUCAAACACUAAGAGUGUUGAGAUAGCAAUUAUAGUGCUUCUUCGGGGCCUGGGACCCUGCUGGGGGUUUUAGAGAUUCAUCCGUGGAUGUUUACUGAGCCUCCGCUGUAUGCUAGGCCCUGACCCGGGUGCUGGGAAUAGAUUGGUGAAGAAGACAGAGGAAAAGAAGAACAAAUAAAUAGAUUAAAUAUUUAUUAAGGGGAUACUAGAUGCCUUUAAGAAAAACGAAGCCAGGGAAAGGGGUAGGUGAUAAGGAGGUGCUGUUUUAGCUACAGAGUCAAGGCAGGCCUCUUUGAGGAGGUGACAUUUCAGUAAAGACCAGCAGGAGGUGAGAGAAUGAAUUAAGUGGUGGUCUGAGGGAACAGCGUUCCUGAGGUGGGGAAAAGAGUUGUGCAAAGGCCCUGGAGCAGGGGCGUGCUUGGUAUGUUGGAGGAGCAGUGAGGAGGCCCAUGUGUCUGGAGCAGUGGCGAGGGCGGGAGCAAGUGAGGGCAAGGAGGGGACGGGGCAGGUUGUGCAGGGCCUCGUGGGUGGCAGGAGGACUUGAGUUUUUGCCCCAGGGAGUAAAAGGGAGCCAUGGGCAGAGCAGAAGCAGGACCUGACUCCAAUCCUCACAGGUGCCCUUUUGCCACUGAAGUAGGGCAGACCGUGAGGGUGAGGGCAGGAGCCAAGGACCAGGGUUGGGGGUGACUGUACCUGUCCAGGUGAGUGAUGAUGAGGCUGGUCUAGGUGGAGGCAGAGGGAGGAGAAGUAGGUGGCACAAUGGGUGCCAGGUGGGGUUGCGAGGAAUCAAGGAUAACUCCUAGGUCUCUGGCUUGAGAACCUACAAGGACGGAGGAACCGGCAUGGGGAGCCCCCAGGUUACAGACAUCCACCAAGUUUCCCAGAAGGGAAAAGGACUGCUUUCCCCAUCUGUAUAGUGGAGAUAAUAACGGAAGGCAACAAAAUGAGUUAAUAUGUACAAACCACUUAGAACACAGCCAGCUACACAUUUGGGUUUGGAUGGGGCUGGGGCCAGAGUUUUGUCAACCCCAAGCUCCACUGGGGCUCUUGGGGCAGAAAUUCUGAGAUUUGCUGCAAGUCUCCAGUUCAGGAUAUGGAGGAGGCCCGGUUUGUAGACCAGGAGGUUGAGGCCCAGAGAGGUUAGGGCACUCGUCCCAGACCACACAGCAUGUGUGGCACAGCUCUUGUGGGCCCACACACCCUCCCCACGUUGCUCCUCUCUCUUCUUCUCUGUGUGUUUUCCACCCCCAGGGCUGCCAGCUUUAGUUCUCGGUGGUUUCCAGGCUCCCCUUGACUCCAGCUUGGCACUCACCUCCCACCUCCACACACUCUGGACCCAGGGCUUGGUGCCAGGUGGGCUCGAGGGCUGGGGGUCUUGAUGAGCACCCUCUGUUUUACACUCAGAGUUCCCUCUGCCCCCACCAGCCCCUCCCCCAAGCCUCCCACUAAUGAUGGAAGUGGGACAGGAGGGAGAGAGUGAAAUUAUAUACACAUGAACAUACAAAAAUUAGUUUAGGAUCUGGGCCAAGAACCACUUGCGCUUGGCUGGGCAUUGUGGGUAAUUCAUCGCCGAUUACCAUAAAAGCCAGAGCCUGGCUGACAGGCGGCCGUGGGGCUUUUGUUUAAGAUUCUGAUGAAUAUAUAAUCUCUCUCUUGCCGGGGAGCCUGAGGUUCCCCCCACCCUGCCCGUACCCCCUCUGCUCAGCACAGCCCCCAGGAAGGAUGUCCACAGGAUCCUGCCCAAGGGGCUGGCAGUUGUGGCCUGCUCAGGAGCCAGGCCGGCCAUGGUCCUUUGGUGAGCCUGCCUGGAAGAAGCUGGGCUUAGCAUUCGAUGCCCACGGCUUUCUCCAAGGACCCCGGGCUUUGUAAUGCAGCGCCAUCCCUGGGCCCAAGUCCCUCAGGCCUGCAUUCAUCCACCCAACACAUGUUUAUUGGGCUCCCAACUGUUUGUUUGGCCCCCCGCGGGUGCUGAGAUGCUGCGGUGAUUGAGAUGGAUGGGGUCCCUGCCUUUUCAGAGUCUGGGGGCUGAUGGAUGAGUAGACAGACAAGCAUUUAUCCAUAUUUAAAGAUUCCCUAAGUCUGGCCCAGGAGAUGCAAAUUGAAACAACAAGAUCCAUUUCUUGCUCAUCCGCUUGGCAAAAAUGUCUGAAGCUUGAUGAUAUCCAGAGUGGUAAUGGGAGAGAGACCUCUGGGCGUCACCAGCAGGAGAAUAAAUCAGCUUCGCCACUUUGCAACAUCUUUUUAUUUUUAAUUUCCUUUUCUGGCCAGAUAACACAUACAUGUGGGACGCACUUGAGGAUAUAUGGAAGAAUACACAGUGGAGAGCCUUUCUACCCCUGCUUCCCUCACAUCCUCAGUCUCCCUCCCCUCUUCUUCCCCAGAAGCAGCCACCAGCCUCCUUCUAGGACCGUGGUUUUUUUCUGGAAAGGGCCAGACUGUAAGUCUUUUCAGCCCUGCCGGACAGCGGUUUCUCUCAAUACUAUUCAGCAUGCUGCCCUUGUAGCAUGAAAACAGCCAGAGACUUCCAUGAAUGAAGGGCUGUGGUCGAGUGCCAAUAAAGCUUUAUUGACACAAACAGCCAGCAGGCCAGCUUUGGCCCAUGUGUUGUAGCUUGCUGGCCCCUGCUCUGUAUCAGUGCUGUCCAGCAGAACUUCGGUAUGAUGUUAGAAACACGCUGUACCCAUGCUUUCUAAUAAAAUAGCCUCUAGCCACAUGUGCUGUUGAGCAUUGGCAAUGUAGCUAGUGCAAAUGAGGACUCACAUUUUAAAUUUUAUUCCAUUUUAUUGCAUUCGAAUGUAAAUGGCCUUGCAUGGCUCGUGGCCACCGUUUCGGGCAGCGCAGUUAUCUAGACAUCUUCGGUGAACAUUCAGUAGGCAGCUAGGUGUGUAUUUCUUUGUUUACGCAAAAUGAUAGCAUCUUUUAAAAGCUGUUCUGUACUUUGGUGGUUUUUCUUUCCCCCUCUUGAAAAUGUAGUAUCUUAAAAGGUAAUUUCAUAAUUAUGCAUCUGGCUUUUCCCUUUCACAGCUGUGAUACUAGUCUCAUAAUACUAAAAGAUACUAAUCUUUUGUGGCAGUAUUUGGUCCCUUACACUGGUAUGCAUUUACCAGUCCUCUGCUGUUGGGCACUUAGGUUGCUUCAAGUCUUUGGCCACGUGGACUUUCAAUAUGCCUCAUUUCAUGAGACUGCUUCUUUCAUAUUUCCUAGAGGUGAUGUUAGGCCCAAAGGGAAGGUAGAGAUGCCCCAGCUGCACACCUCUCAGCAUUGAGAUGUGGCUGGUGUGGUCACAGAGGUUCACAGGCAUGGGUGGAGACUGAGAGAGAGAAAAAACAGGAGCUAACCUAAGUGUUCAUCAACAGGGGAUUGUGAUAACCUGGUAAGGCAUUGUAGCAGAAGAUUAUAUUUAGCAGGCAAAUGUGUGUGCUCAGUAGAUACAAUGUCAGUGAAAGAAUGCAAGUUGGGAAAUGAUAACAAACAAGAUGAUACAGUUUCAUGGGUGGAAAAAAACCCACUCAGUAUUUUUUUUUUUUUUUUUUUUUUUUGCUUUUUAGAGCGGCCCUUGUGGCACAUGGAGGUUCCCAGGCUAGGGGUCAAAUGAGAGCUAUAGCUGCUGGCCUAUGCCACAGCCACACCAUAUCCAAGCUGCAUCUGCAACCUACACCACACACAGCUCAUGGCAAUGCCGGAUCCUUAACCUGCUGAUUGAGGCCAGGGAUCGAACCUACAACCUCAUGGUUCCUAGUCAGAUUCAUUUCCCCUGCCCCACGUCAGCAACCCCCCCUUUUUUUUUUUCCCUUUUAAUUUUAAUUUUUUCCAUUAUAGUUGGUUUACAGUGUUCUGUCAAUUUCUACUGUACAUCAGUGUCACCCUGUCACACGUAUAUAUAUAUACGUUCUUUUUCUCACAUUAUUCUCCAUCAUGUUCCAUUAUAAGUGACUAGAUACAGUUUCCCUGUGUUGUACAGCAGGAUCUCAUUGCUUAUCCACUCCAAAUGCAAUAGUUUGCAUCUGUUAACCCCCAGAUUCCCAGUCCAUCCCACUCCCUCCCCCUCCCCCUUGGCAAUCACAAGUCUGUUCUCCAAGUCCCUUCCCGUGUGGCUCCCACUCAGUAUUCUAGCCUUACCUUUGGUCUGUAACUGCUUGGGAAAGAUAUGCAAAGAUUGACACAAACCAGCAACAGAGGUUGCUUCUUGGGGCAGAUAAGAGCGACUCUCCCUUCUGCAAAUGUUUGGAUCUGCUAUGUACCAGCUGCUCGGAGGAAUUUGAAAGAACAAAUCCCUUGCCCUCUUGCAGCUAGCACUCCAGUUGGGGAGUUGGAGAAUAAACAAAGCACAGGAAAAACAAAAAAACAAAAAAAACCCACAUCAAAUGUCAGAAAGUGGUAUGUUGC